Molecule: long non-coding RNA, 248 nt
Organism: Gallus gallus (chicken)
Lineage: Eukaryota; Metazoa; Chordata; Aves; Galliformes; Phasianidae
Exons: 3
Source: RefSeq, a predicted model, not a curated record
AAAGACAGCGCCUGCAAGAGGAGCGGGAGGAGCUGGAGCUGGAGGGUGCCUGGCAGCAGCAUCAGCUGGAGCUGGAGGCAGCCCACGUGCCUGGGGCUGUGCUGCCGGAGCUGGUGGAGGCAGAGCUGGAGAAGGCUGAGCGGGCGAGGAGACGUGGGCUCGCCUUCUGGAUGAAGUGAGUAUCCCCUCAUUGCCCUGUGCCCAGCCGGCAGCAGCCGGGCUCCCGGCAGUGGGCUGAUGGCCUGGAC